GACGAACGCUGGCGGCGUGCUUAACACAUGCAAGUCGAACGGAAAGGCCCUGCUUUUGUGGGGUGCUCGAGUGGCGAACGGGUGAGUAACGCGUGAGUAACCUGCCCUUGACUUUGGGAUAACUUCAGGAAACUGGGGCUAAUACCGGAUAGGAGCUCCUGCUGCAUGGUGGGGGUUGGAAAGUUUCGGCGGUUGGGGAUGGACUCGCGGCUUAUCAGCUUGUUGGUGGGGUAGUGGCUUACCAAGGCUUUGACGGGUAGCCGGCCUGAGAGGGUGACCGGCCACAUUGGGACUGAGGUACGGCCCAGACUCCUACGGGAGGCAGCAGUGGGGAAUAUUGCACAAUGGGCGGAAGCCUGAUGCAGCAACGCCGCGUGCGGGAUGACGGCCUUCGGGUUGUAAACCGCUUUCGCCUGUGACGAAGCGUGAGUGACGGUAAUGGGUAAAGAAGCACCGGCUAACUACGUG
RNAcentral lists this ribosomal RNA (468 nucleotides) under uncultured bacterium. RNAcentral describes it as "partial 16S ribosomal RNA". It matches the Rfam family "Bacterial small subunit ribosomal RNA", at positions 28 to 507 of the family's 1533-position model. The record is from RNAcentral.